This 785-nucleotide ribosomal RNA is filed under the name uncultured Glomus. Its description in RNAcentral is "SSU rRNA". It matches the Rfam family "Eukaryotic small subunit ribosomal RNA", at positions 325 to 1111 of the family's 1831-position model. The record is from RNAcentral. Lineage: Eukaryota; Fungi; Glomeromycota; Glomeromycetes; Glomerales; Glomeraceae.
AUGGUAGGAUAGAGGUCUACCAUGGUGGUAGCGGGUAACGGGGUGUUAGGGCACGACACCGGAGAGGGAGCCUGAGAAACGGCUACCACAUCCAAGGAAGGCAGCAGGCGCGCAAAUUACCCAAUCCCGACACGGGGAGGUAGUGACAAUAAAUAACAAUACAGGGCUCUUUUGGGUCUUGUAAUUGGAAUGAGUACAAUUUAAAUCUCUUAACGAGGAACAAUUGGAGGGCAAGUCUGGUGCCAGCAGCCGCGGUAAUUCCAGCUCCAAUAGCGUAUAUNAAAGUUGUUGCAGUUAAAAAGCUCGUAGUUGAAUUUCGGGAUCAAUAUGUCGGUCGUGCCUUCGGUACGUACUGGUAUCAUUGGUCUCUCCUUUCUGACGAACCAUGAUGUCAUUAAUUUGGUGUUAUGGGGAGUUAGGACUGUUACUUUGAAAAAGUUAGAGUGUUUAAAGCAGGCUUUAGCUUGAAUACAUUAGCAUGGAAUAAUGAAAUAGGACGUUCGAACCUAUNUUGUUGGUUUCUAGGAUCAACGUAAUGAUUAAUAGGGAUAGUUGGGGGCAUUAGUAUUCAAUUGUCAGAGGUGAAAUUCUUGGAUUUAUUGAAGACUAACUACUGCGAAAGCAUUUGCCAAGGAUGUUUUCAUUAAUCAAGAACGAAAGUUAGGGGAUCGAAGACGAUCAGAUACCGUCGUAGUCUUAACCAUAAACUAUGCCGACUAGGGAUCGGAUGAUGUUAAUUUUUUAAUGACUCAUUCGGCGCCUUACGGGAAACCAAAGUGUUUGGG